This is a small nuclear RNA of Otolemur garnettii (small-eared galago), 107 nucleotides long. Lineage: Eukaryota; Metazoa; Chordata; Mammalia; Primates; Galagidae. The record is from Ensembl.
GUGGUUAUUUCAGCAGCACAUACACUAAUAUUGGAACAAUACGUAGAAGAUUAGAAUAGACUCUACGUAAGAAUGACAUGCAAAUUCUUGAAGCAUUUCAUAUUGUC